Homo sapiens (human) is the source of this 773-nucleotide long non-coding RNA. RefSeq lists it as uncharacterized. The record is from RefSeq and is a predicted model, not a curated record. NCBI's taxonomy places the organism in Eukaryota, Metazoa, Chordata, Mammalia, Primates, Hominidae. The transcript is spliced from 3 exons.
UGUUUAAUAAAAAAGAUCCAGCAGCAGAAUCUAACCCUCUACCUUCCCUCCUUUAGACGGUGAACGGAUUAGCUGUCCAAACUCUUAGGAGAAGGCAGAAUGGAUGGACAUGUCACACACAUUGUUCUCUGGGAAGGUUCUUCAUCUGGUGCUUCCAUGGGUGAAACUAAAGAAGAGGUGAUCUCUGUACAUGCUGGCUCUCCUUUACCAUCUGCCAUGAGUGGAAGCAGCCUGAGUCCCUCUCCAGAAGCAGAUUCUGGCACCAUGAUUCCUAUACAGCCUAUAGAGCUGUGAGCUAAAUGAACCUGCUUUCUUUGUAAAUUACUCAGCCUCAGGUCUCCCUUUUUAACAAUACAAAAACAGACUAAAACAAAAAGUCAUUGAUAUUAAUGUAUUAACAUAAGCACAUUUCUUAUAUCCUGUGCCUAAUAUAUAAUAUCUGCUCUAAAAAAUAGUUUUCUUUUACUAAUACUAAGAAGAUACUACAUUUAGUAAACAAUGGAGAUCCUGAGGCUAACAUCUGGCUGAGGGUGAUGAAAGAAACCUGCUAUGAUUAUGCCUGGUUCUGUGACAACCAGAGGCUCAGCCUGGGACACUGACUGUUCUCUCUGACCUCACAGAAAAGGCACUGCCGGUAUUCCUCUUGGCUUUCUCGGUGAGACAAUGAAGUGAGAAAGGAAGAAAGGAAAGAACAUGCCACAGUUGCUGUCACAGAGAAAAGGAAUGGAAAAUUGGUUGGACUGAGGGGAUAAAGAUGUACCUCUCGGGGACAC